This 68-nucleotide transfer RNA is filed under the name Halococcoides cellulosivorans. Its description in RNAcentral is "Haloarculaceae archaeon HArcel1 tRNA-Tyr". The record is from RNAcentral. Lineage: Archaea; Methanobacteriati; Methanobacteriota; Halobacteria; Halobacteriales; Haloarculaceae.
CUCCCCGUGGUCAAGCGGCGACGACGUCUCCCUGUAGAGGAGGAGACGCACGUUCGAAUUCCGGAAGA